Molecule: ribosomal RNA, 457 nt
Filed under: uncultured bacterium
Lineage: Bacteria
Description: SSU rRNA
Rfam family: Bacterial small subunit ribosomal RNA
Source: RNAcentral
AGAAUCAACGCUGGCGGCGUGCCUAACACAUGCAAGUCGCACGAGAAAGGGGAGCAAUCCCUGAGUACAGUGGCGCACGGGUGAGUAACACGUGAAUCAUCUACCUCCGAGUGGGGAAUAACUGAGAGAAAUCUUAGCUAAUACCGCAUAACACUUACGAGUCAAAGCAGCAAUGCGCUUGGAGAGGAGUUCGCGGCAGAUUAGUUAGUUGGCGGGGUAAUGGCCCACCAAGACGAUGAUCUGUAUCCGGCCUGAGAGGGCGCACGGACACACUGGAACUGAAACACGGUCCAGACUCCUACGGAGGCAGCAGUGGGGAAUUUUGCGCAAUGGGGAAACCCUGACGCAGCAACGCCGCGUGGAGGAUGAAGCCCCUUGGGGUGUAAACUCCUUUCGAUCGGGAAGAUAAUGACGGUACCGAUAUAAGAAGCCCGGCUAACUUCGCGCCAGCAGCCGC